Molecule: ribosomal RNA, 253 nt
Filed under: uncultured bacterium
Lineage: Bacteria
Description: partial 16S ribosomal RNA
Rfam family: Bacterial small subunit ribosomal RNA
Source: RNAcentral
UACAGAGGGGGCAAGCGUUGUUCGGAAUUACUGGGCGUAAAGGGCUCGUAGGCGGCCAACUAAGUCAGACGUGAAAUCCCUCGGCUCAACUGGGGAACUGCGUCUGAUACUGGGUGGCUUGAGUGUGGGAGAGGGAUGCGGAAUUCCAGGUGUAGCGGUGAAAUGCGUAGAUAUCUGGAGGAACACCGGUGGCGAAGGCGGCAUCCUGGACCACGACUGACGCUGAGGAGCGAAAGCCAGGGGAGCAAACGGG